CCCGCGCGCCCCUUCCCGGACAGUUCCUCCCGGCGCCCCCGAGUCCUCCCCGCGCGCCGCUUCCCGGGUGGGCCCUUCCACCAGACCCCCCUGGUAGAUCCUCCCCUAGUGCCCUGGGGGUAGAGGGGGGAUCCUCCACAAGGGUCCUUUCCCUGGUGAUUCUUCCUGUGCUCCACAGGCAGCGUGUGUCCUUGGCCUUCGCCGCCCAGCCCGCAUGGCAUCUCUGGACCGGUGACCGUGCGCGCCUUGGUGUGGGCAGGCUCCGUAGCCGGCAAAGCCUCCCUGAACUGUGACCUGGUGAGAAGGCCACAGAGGAGGUGCCUGUGCCCAAAGGCCACCUCCGAAGACCCCACCUGAGGCUGGAACCCCGCGCCUGCUGACCUCCCCAGCCCUAACGGGGCUGGAGUCCGGGAGCGGCCGUGCUCUUUCCACAGUGAGGCAGCUGCCCUCCCUCCCCACCACCUGUCAGGAUGCCUUCCUGUGUGUGUGUGUGCACAGGUCUAAGGAGAGGAGAGUCCAGUGACCCAGACGCCCCAGCCAGGAAGAGCAUGAGGUGGGAAGGGGGCUUCCCAGAUGGAGAAAAACAGAUGGUCCCACAGUGGCUUGGAGACAGGUGCAACAUCAGUGUUGGGGGAGGUGAGGAAAAGGAGCUGUCUUGGGGCUCCAGGCUGCUGGUUUGAGCAGCACCAUGGGUCUCGGCCCUGCCUGCUCAGAUGCUGGAGGUCAGUGACUGGAGGGAGCUGACAUCUACCUGGGACAUCCCUCCCUGUAGGACAUGCAGCGGAGUGUUCAGGGCUAUCAGGAGGGAGCCCUGUGCCCACGGUUCAAGAUCUAGGCAGGUGGGACAGAUGUGGUCAGGGUGCUGGGGACAGAGCAUAGGGAAUCCAGCACACAGGACACCAGCCAGGUGGGCAGAAAACAGCAUGUGCUGGGAGGAAAGCCAGGUGGGGGUCCCAAGGAGAGCAGUGGCCACAAUGUCUUGGCUGCAGAGCAGACCAGAAAGGAAAACCCUGCCAGGGUUAGCACAGGGCCAGGAACCGAAGCUGCAAGGCAGUGCUGUCUCUGGGGAGAGAGGGCUGUGGGUCCCAGGACACAUCCUACAGGCUGCAGGGAACAGGAGCUGGCUUGCUGGUGAUUGGGUGGGAAGAGCAGACAGCCAGGGGCCAGGUGCAGGAGAGGGGCAAUGACAGGCAGUGUCUCCCCAGAAAGAAGGUGGGGCUGCUGCCUCCCCUGUCCUACAGCCCCGGCCUACCUCUGUCUCCUCAGCGGGAAAGCAACGCUGCGGCCUGAGAUCUCCUUCCACCAACUCCUGGCAUGGUCAGAAAGUUAGCCAGAAACAACAGAAAGUGCCAGGCAGCUAGGAGGCAUGGGGAGAGUCCCCGAAGCUGUGUGUGUAGUGCCUGCUUCCGCUGCCAUCCCAGAAACGGAGGCGCUUCACCCUGAGAACCCGGCCACGCCACCAGGACACAUCCUGACAGUGACAUGCACACUCUCCCCUGGCCUUGGCCUGGAGGGGAGCCUCCUGCAGACACCAGCCUUUGCUCCUUCUCCCGGUGGGGGUGGAGAGAACUGACUGCUGGAGCGGAGACAGUCAAAGCUGUCCUUCGGAGGGAGUACGGCGCAGGGUCUGGUGUCCCAGGGAGACAAUCUGAACUUCAAGCCAGGACACUGCAGCAGAGAGGACACACCCCUUACCAUGCAGAGUGACAUUUAGUAAACUCUCAAAAGACAGCACAGAGCCCCGUUCCUCCAGCCGACCCCUACUCUGCCUCCCCACUCCAGACCAGUGAAAAAGGUGGAUUGCCCUUAAGCCAGCUCAGAGGCAAAGUCCAAAGACCUCAGGAAUAGGUCUGAGACUCACGCUCACGGCUGCAUGCAACAGGCAUCCACACAACCACAGCCCCAAAUCCGAGCCGUUCUGUGAUCACUUUCAUGAUGCUUUGAGAUCAUUUCUUCAGAACUGAGGUGAGUGUGUGCCGGGGGCAAAUUCUCUCUUUUAUCAUUUAAAAACUUUAUUUAUUUAGCCUUUUUCGUAUAAACCAUUUUUUGCUAGGCCUAAUAUUCAAGGCUGAGCAUGGCUUCCCCUGAGAAUAGGCACACUACUGCUCUACCGUGACGAGCUCCCGUGACUCCUUUGAAGGUUCUGUCUUCCCGCUCGAAUUGCUUCUGAGGUUUUUGUCUCUGGCAUUCUGCAAUUUCACUAUUAUGCUUCUCAGCACAUAAUCUUUUAAAGCCUGUAGACUAAAUGACUGCCUGUGAGAGCUGUCCUCCAAGAUGGCAUCCAAUGAUUCUCACCUCCUGGUAUUCAUGCCCUUGUGUCAUCCCUUCUCACAUUAAAUAGGAUCACCAGUGUAUCCAAAAAGGAUACUGUAGAAAUAGGGAAGUGUGACUUCCUAGGUUAAGUUAUGGAAGUCAUUGCGGCUUCCAGCUCACUCUCUCUCCAAGUGCUCUCUCUCUCUCCAAGCACUCACUCUGGGGGAAGCCAGCCACUGUACUGAGGAUACUGAAGCUGUCCUAUGGGGAGAUGCACGUGGUGAGGAGCUGAGCCUCCUGCCAGCCCCUAUCAUGGACUCGCCAGUCACGUGAGUGAGCUGCCGUGGAAGCAGUCUCCAGCCUUCCUCAAACUUUGAGAUGACUGAAGUGUUGGCUGCUAUCUCAACUAUAAGCUCCCAAGAGAUCUCAAACCAAAGCAACAGCUAAGCAGCUCCCAAAUUUCUAACCUACAGAAACUAAGAUAAAAAUAGUUACUGUUUUAAGUUGCUAAGCUCUGGGGAAAUUUGUCAUGCAGCAAUGGAUAACUAAUACAUGGCCAAAGGCUGGCUAUGGUGGCUCAUGCCUGCGAUCCCAGCUCUUUGGAAGGCCAGGAGUUAGAGACCAGCCGAGGUAACAUAGUGAGACCCUGUCUCUAAUCUUUUUUAAAAAGUAAACUAGUAAUACAUUUCCAGAAUCACCAUAUACAUUUAAAAUGAAAUUUUCAAGAUUCAUGAAGUCUGUUUUUUUAAAAAACACUGAAUUGUUUUUCAGAAGCCUGACACGUUUAAAAUGUUAAAUCUUGCUGGGCGCAAAGGCUCAUGCCUGUAAUCUUAACACUUUGGAACACAUGGAAGAU
Cercocebus atys (sooty mangabey) is the source of this 3109-nucleotide long non-coding RNA. RefSeq lists it as uncharacterized. Lineage: Eukaryota; Metazoa; Chordata; Mammalia; Primates; Cercopithecidae. The transcript is spliced from 4 exons. The record is from RefSeq and is a predicted model, not a curated record.